Molecule: ribosomal RNA, 222 nt
Filed under: Aglaostigma occipitosum
Lineage: Eukaryota; Metazoa; Arthropoda; Insecta; Hymenoptera; Tenthredinidae
Description: partial 16S ribosomal RNA
Source: RNAcentral
ACUGUCUUUAUAUAAAUAUUAUUUUAAUUUAAUUUUUAAGUUAAAAAGCUUAAAUAAAUUUAAAGGACGAGAAGACCCUAUAGAGUUUUAUAUAUAAAAUUUGUUUGAGAAAUUUAAAAUUAUUUUUAAAAUUUAUUUAUUUAUUUUAUUGGGGCGAUAGAAAAAUUAAUUAAACUUUUUUAUAAUAAUAACAUAGAUAAGUGGAAUUUUGAUCCUUUUUUU